GGGCGGUUAGCUCAGUGGGAGAGCACUACUUUGACAUGGUAGGGGUCGUAGGUUCGAAUCCUACACCGCCCA
This 72-nucleotide transfer RNA is filed under the name Pseudomonadota bacterium. RNAcentral's name for it is "tRNA-Val". It matches the Rfam family "tRNA". From Rfam's summary of the family: Transfer RNA (tRNA) molecules are approximately 80 nucleotides in length. Their secondary structure includes four short double-helical elements and three loops (D, anti-codon, and T loops). Lineage: Bacteria; Pseudomonadati; Pseudomonadota. RNAcentral also lists the same sequence under 1 other name. The record is from RNAcentral.